GCGGCCUAUCAGCUUGUUGGUGAGGUAAUGGCUCACCAAGGCUACGACGGGUAUCCGGCCUGAGAGGGCGACCGGACACACUGGGACUGAGACACGGCCCAGACUCCUACGGGAGGCAGCAGUGGGGAAUAUUGGGCAAUGGACGCAAGUCUGACCCAGCGACGCCGCGUGAGGGAUGAAGGCCUUCGGGUUGUAAACCUCUUUCAGUAGGGAAGGAGCGAAAGUGACGGUACCUACAAAAGAAGCACCGGCUAACUAUGUGCCAGCAGCCGCGGUAAUACAUAGGGUGCAAGCGUUGUCCGGAUUUAUUGGGCGUAAAGAACUCGUAGGUGGUUUGUUACGUCGGAUGUGAAACUCUGGGGCUCAACCCCAGACCUGCAUCCGAUACGGGCAGACUAGAGUGUGGUAGGGGAGACUGGAAUUCCU
RNAcentral lists this ribosomal RNA (426 nucleotides) under uncultured Actinomycetes bacterium. Its description in RNAcentral is "bacterial SSU rRNA". It matches the Rfam family "Bacterial small subunit ribosomal RNA", at positions 233 to 671 of the family's 1533-position model. The record is from RNAcentral. Lineage: Bacteria; Bacillati; Actinomycetota; Actinomycetes.